Molecule: transfer RNA, 98 nt
Filed under: Mycolicibacterium fallax
Lineage: Bacteria; Bacillati; Actinomycetota; Actinomycetes; Mycobacteriales; Mycobacteriaceae
Description: tRNA-Pro
Source: RNAcentral
CCGCCGCCAGCUCGGCGCGUACCAGCGCGGCGGGGUCGGUGCCCGCGGCCGGGCCGGGGGUCGGUGCCGCGGCCGGUUCGGGGGCCGGCGCGGGGGCC